This 1228-nucleotide unclassified non-coding RNA is filed under the name Hevea brasiliensis (rubber tree). The record is from RNAcentral. Lineage: Eukaryota; Viridiplantae; Streptophyta; Magnoliopsida; Malpighiales; Euphorbiaceae.
GUGCGGUCCAAGCAUCAACUGUCACAUGGUUUUGUGUCAAAAACCCUAGGCUGAGAAUUUGCAGCCGCCGCCGCCUUUUGUUUGUAUCAAUCGCCCCUCCUCACUUUCUCUCUCAUCUACCCCCACUUUCUCUCUCCUCCAUGCCUCACCUCCGCGGUCAAUGGAGGGCAUGAUGCUCUCCUUCCCGCGGCCCAAGCCGCUGCACUCGCUGAGCUUCGCUUCCACGCCGCCUCUUCUGCGGAUAUCCGCAACUUCAAUCCCAAUCCUUGCCGAUGAGGGGCAAAAUCGUCAUUCCUGCGCGUGUCGUCGGACGACUGCCGUGGUACCGUCGAUAUGGCACGCAAUCACGCCGUCGUCGGGCUGUGCCGCCGCCAGCAGGGCCUCACUGCGACGGCGGCUGCGGGGACUGAGCGCGGAGGAGGGGUCAUGGAACGCGGCGUGGGAUGCGAGACCGGCGCGGUGGUUACAUGGUUCGGAUUCUGCGUGGUUGCUGUUUGGUGUUUGCUCUUGCUAUUCACCGGUGGGGAUGGUUGGGGUUGGGGUUGAUGAGGCGGUGGUGGAGGUGGGGACCGAGGCCGGAGAUGUUGCGGUGGCGGAGGCGAAGCCGGCUGAGGAUUAUAAGCUUAUAGGCAUGUCUGCCGAUGGGCGAUGCCUGUUUAGAGCUGUUGCCUAUGGGGCUUGCUUAGCCACCGGCAAAGAAGCUCCUGAUGAAACACAACAAAAGAAACUUGCUGAUGACUUGAGAGCUCAUGUUGUGGAUGAGCUCAUAAAGAGGCGCAACGAAAUCGAACGGUUCAUCGAAGAGGAUUUUGACAAAUAUAUCGAGCGUAUCCGACAACCAUACAUAUGGGGAGGGGAACCUGAGUUAUUGAUGGCUUCUCAUGUGUUGCAAAUACCUUUAUCCGUCUUCAUGAUAGAUGGAAGUUCAAGUCGUUUGAUAAAUAUCGCGAAUUAUGGGGAGGAGUAUAAGGACAAAGACAUUUCAAUUAAGGUGUUGUUCCAUGGAUAUGGGCACUAUGAUGCAUUAGAGAUUGCUACCAAAGUAAAAUGAACAAUGGUAGACGAGGAAGAUUUAUUUUUUUGGUUGGAAUGCAUGAGCAAUUCCGUAUAAUCAUCUAAUAAUAGAGGAUUUUAAAUCCUUCAAAAUAAUUGGUUAUUGAGUACGCCUCUUUGAUGACGUGAUAGAGUUGUAUCAUUCUAUCAAUUGGAUAGAAAAGUAUAUAUUCUU